Molecule: ribosomal RNA, 430 nt
Filed under: uncultured bacterium
Lineage: Bacteria
Description: bacterial SSU rRNA
Rfam family: Bacterial small subunit ribosomal RNA
Source: RNAcentral
UGGUGGCGAGUGGCGAACGGGUGAGUAAUACAUCGGAACGUACCUUAUCGUGGGGGAUAACGCAGCGAAAGCUGUGCUAAUACCGCAUACGCCUGGAGGGGGAAAGGCGGGGGAUCGAAAGACCUCGCGCGAUUAGAGCGGCCGAUGCCUGAUUAGCUUGUUGGGUAGGGGUAAAAGCCCACCAAGGCGACGAUCAGUAGCUGGUCUGAGAGGACGAUCAGCCACACUGGGACUGAGACACGGCCCAGACUCCUACGGGGAGGCAGCAGGUGGGGUAAUUUUGGACAAUGGGGGAAACCCUGAUCCAGCAAUGCCGCGUGAGUGAAGAAGGCCUUCGGGUUGUAAAGCUCUUUUGUCAGGGAAGAAACACCGGCUCUAACACAGUCCGGGAAUGACGGUACCUGAAGAAUAAGCACCGGCUAACUACGUG